RNAcentral lists this ribosomal RNA (484 nucleotides) under uncultured bacterium. Its description in RNAcentral is "partial 16S ribosomal RNA". It matches the Rfam family "Bacterial small subunit ribosomal RNA", at positions 30 to 507 of the family's 1533-position model. The record is from RNAcentral.
AUUGAACGCUGGCGGCAUGCUUUACACAUGCAAGUCGAACGGCAGCGCGGGCUUCGGCCUGGCGGCGAGUGGCGAACGGGUGAGUAAUACAUCGGAACGUGCCCAGUAUUGGGGGAUAGCUCGGCGAAAGCCGGACUAAUACCGCAUACGACCUGAGGGUGAAAGCGGGGGAUCUUCGGACCUCGCGCUAUUUGAGCGGCCGAUGGCAGAUUAGCUAGUUGGUGGGGUAAAGGCCUACCAAGGCGACGAUCUGUAGCUGGUCUGAGAGGACGACCAGCCACACUGGGACUGAGACACGGCCCAGACUCCUACGGGAGGCAGCAGUGGGGAAUUUUGGACAAUGGGCGAAAGCCUGAUCCAGCAAUGCCGCGUGUGUGAUGAAGGCCUUCGGGUUGUAAAGCACUUUUGGCGGGAAAGAAAAGGACUGUGCCAAUACCACGGUUUGAUGACGGUACCCGAAGAAUAAGCACCGGCUAACUACGUG